This 427-nucleotide ribosomal RNA is filed under the name uncultured bacterium. RNAcentral's name for it is "bacterial SSU rRNA". It matches the Rfam family "Bacterial small subunit ribosomal RNA", at positions 355 to 774 of the family's 1533-position model. The record is from RNAcentral.
UGGGGAAUUUUGGACAAUGGGCGCAAGCCUGAUCCAGCCAUGCCGCGUGCAGGAUGAAGGCCUUCGGGUUGUAAACUGCUUUUGUACGGAACGAAAAGGUGCCUUCUAAUAAAGGGCGCUCAUGACGGUACCGUAAGAAUAAGCACCGGCUAACUACGUGCCAGCAGCCGCGGUAAUACGUAGGGUGCGAGCGUUAAUCGGAAUUACUGGGCGUAAAGCGUGCGCAGGCGGUUUUGUAAGACAGAGGUGAAAGCCCCGGGCUUAACCUGGGAAUCGCGUUUGAAACUACAAGACUAGAGUGCAGCAGAGGGGAGUGGAAUUCCAUGUGUAGCAGUGAAAUGCGUAGAGAUGUGGAAGAACACCGAUGGCGAAGGCAGCUCCCUGGGUUGACACUGACGCUCAUGCACGAAAGCGUGGGGAGCAAACA